RNAcentral lists this ribosomal RNA (385 nucleotides) under Escherichia coli. RNAcentral describes it as "bacterial SSU rRNA". It matches the Rfam family "Bacterial small subunit ribosomal RNA", at positions 1 to 382 of the family's 1533-position model. Lineage: Bacteria; Pseudomonadati; Pseudomonadota; Gammaproteobacteria; Enterobacterales; Enterobacteriaceae. The record is from RNAcentral.
AAAUUGAAGAGUUUGAUCAUGGCUCAGAUUGAACGCUGGCGGCAGGCCUAACACAUGCAAGUCGAACGGUAACAGGAAGCAGGUUGCUGCUUCGCUGACGAGUGGCGGACGGGUGAGUAAUGUCUGGGAAACUGCCUGAUGGAGGGGGAUAACUACUGGAAACGGUAGCUAAUACCGCAUAAUGUCGCAAGACCAAAGAGGGGGACCUUCGGGCCUCUUGCCAUCGGAUGUGCCCAGAUGGGAUUAGCUUGUUGGUGAGGUAACGGCUCACCAAGGCGACGAUCCCUAGCUGGUCUGAGAGGAUGACCAGCCACACUGGAACUGAGACACGGUCCAGACUCCUACGGGAGGCAGCAGUGGGGAAUAUUGCACAAUGGGCGCAAGC